UUCAGGGGUACACCUGAGAAACCCGAAAUGUCGAAUGGGGAAAUUCAUUCGCGUUUCGAUCGUCGGCGUUGAACGGUCGAGUGACGGAAGACGCGCGUUCGCGCGUUAGUCUUCCGCUUCUUCAGUUUUUCGAACCGGCGUCGAACGCGUGCACUUUUCCCCUAGUAGGACGUCGCGAUCCGUUGGGCGUCGGUCUAAGACUCGCGGUGGAGCACGCGCGCGAACGUUUUACGACGUUCCGCGCGCGUACCCGCGAUGUUCCGGCCGACUCGCUCGACGGUAUAACGAAGGCGAGGGGCCGCUGUCUAUCUACAUAUUCAGCGUUCGGCCCUCGGCAAGCGCGUUCGGCGUUUUGACGGCGAUCGGACCUAGUGCCGAUUCUGUCCCCGAACGACUGUUGGCCGAGGUGUUCUCGAACAGACCUCUUUGAAACGCCGAUCUGCGACGCUAUAGCUUUGGGUACUUUCAGGACCCGUCUUGAAACACGGACCAAGGAGUCUAGCAUGUGCGCGAGUCAUUGGGACACAACUAAACCUAAAGGCGCAAUGAAAGUAAAGGUUCGUCUUGCGCGAACCGAGGGAGGAUAAGCGGUUCGUUUUUCUUUAAAGCGACCGUUUCGCACUCCCGGGGCGUCUCGUUCUCAUUGCGAGAAGAGGCGCACCAAGAGCGUACACGCUGGGACCC
Molecule: ribosomal RNA, 684 nt
Filed under: Chrysochus chinensis
Lineage: Eukaryota; Metazoa; Arthropoda; Insecta; Coleoptera; Chrysomelidae
Description: eukaryotic LSU rRNA
Rfam family: Eukaryotic large subunit ribosomal RNA
Source: RNAcentral